Molecule: unclassified non-coding RNA, 281 nt
Filed under: Hevea brasiliensis (rubber tree)
Lineage: Eukaryota; Viridiplantae; Streptophyta; Magnoliopsida; Malpighiales; Euphorbiaceae
Source: RNAcentral
AAACAAGUCACUUUUGUACUUCUUGAACCUUUCUUCGAUAUUUAUUAACACCUCCAAACCUGAUUGAGCAAUGUUUAGAAUGGUGUCGAGCUCGAUAUCGGCGGCUUCUUUUGGGUCAAACAAGAUCGAAGGACGAGUAAAUGGUCGUUUACGCUGCUCAGUAUCCGGGACUGCUAACCUCUGCAGUUGAGCAACAAGUGAAGUAGCCAUCGUUAAACCUUAACUGUUAAGCUGGUUUAUUGUAACCCUGAGCGAACGAGAGAGAGAUGAAAGAAAGUUUA